CGUGUAGGCGGCCUAUUAAGUCAGGUGUGAAAGCCCUCGGCUCAACCAAGGAACUGCAUCUGAAACUAGUAGGCUUGAGUACGGGAGAGGAGAGUGGAAUUCCCGGUGUAGAGGUGAAAUUCGUAGAUAUCGGGAAGAACACCGGUGGCGAAGGCGGCUCUCUGGACCGAUACUGACGCUGAGACGCGAAAGCGUGGGGAGCAAACAGGAUUAGAUACCCUGGUAGUCC
Molecule: ribosomal RNA, 229 nt
Filed under: uncultured bacterium
Lineage: Bacteria
Description: partial 16S ribosomal RNA
Rfam family: Bacterial small subunit ribosomal RNA
Source: RNAcentral